GACGAACGCUGGCGGCGUGCUUAACACAUGCAAGUCGAACGGAAAGGCCCUGCUUUUGUGGGGUGCUCGAGUGGCGAACGGGUGAGUAACACGUGAGUAACCUGCCCUUGACUUUGGGAUAACUUCAGGAAACUGGGGCUAAUACCGGAUUGGAGCUCCUGCUGCAUGGUGGGGGUUGGAAAGUUUCGGCGGUUGGGGAUGGACUCGCGGCUUAUCAGCUUGUUGGUGGGGUAGUGGCUUACCAAGGCUUUGACGGGUAGCCGGCCUGAGAGGGUGACCGGCGACAUUGGGACUGAGAUACGGCCCAGACUCCUACGGGAGGCAGCAGUGGGGAAUAUUGCACAAUGGGAGGAAGCCUGAUGCAGCAACGCCGCGUGCGGGAUGACGGCCUGCGGGUUGUAAACCGCUUUCGCCUGUGACGAAGCGGGAGUGACGGUAAUGGGUAAAGAAGCACCGGCUAACUACGUG
Molecule: ribosomal RNA, 468 nt
Filed under: uncultured bacterium
Lineage: Bacteria
Description: partial 16S ribosomal RNA
Rfam family: Bacterial small subunit ribosomal RNA
Source: RNAcentral